Long non-coding RNA from Penaeus indicus, 3374 nucleotides. RefSeq lists it as uncharacterized. The record is from RefSeq and is a predicted model, not a curated record. The transcript has 5 exons. NCBI's taxonomy places the organism in Eukaryota, Metazoa, Arthropoda, Malacostraca, Decapoda, Penaeidae.
CAGACACUUUCCUAGUGAGCAGGUCUUUUGUAGAUUUGUGCUAUUCCCCUUGUGAUAAUUACCACGCUGAGACACUCGCAUCCAGCCACCUUAGGUACUCGCACUCGCUCACUCCCACUCACCGGUAGCAGCAAGCCUAGCCAUCGUCCACACUCGUCCGGCAAGACACCUGCUGGACGACCUACAAGUGCUCAAUACUCGUUGAAAACUCAAAUCUCCAAUCAUUAUGUCACUCGUCACCGUCCUCGGGAGUAUGGGCACGGGCGGACGAAUUCCAGGCAGAGCAAAUGUUUACGGCUUUGGAGGCAUUCCGCCUUCGCUCAAGGAAAAGAAGCUGAAAGAAGCGAAGCUGCAGAACGCCCACGCUAAGGCAGCUGUCAUCGCCGCUGAACAGACUGCGGACACGAAAAAGAAAGAUGAUAAUAAAUGAGACACUGCCGAGGUGAAGAAGUGCUGUUGGUGAGGUUCUUCGUGCCUAGAGCUGCCACCAUGGGUAGAAGAUGAGGAAGGUGAAAGGCUGUACUCGUUUUAUGAUACCUGAAGAAGUGGUCGCCUGAACUAGGGUCCCAUACGCACAAAAGGCCAUCAGGGACUCGGUCAGGGCGGCCUGUUCUCCCAUCGCUCCCUCGUAGAUCCGUAGUGCUGUUGUUGUGAUUUUAUUUUUUUGUUUCCUUUUUUUUAGUUUGUUUUUAAUGUUUCAGUUUGAUUUUUUUUUUCUUUUAAUUCUCUCACUUCCUUGUUUUCCUAAGGUGGUUUAAUUUCUAGAUUUUUUUUCUAUUUCAUUUUUUUAUCUCUUUUUUUUGGUUGUUGUUGUUUUUUUCAUAAGCUGAUUCGUUUGGCUUAUGCUCUUGGGUCGUCUUCAUCGUCCGCGCCAGCUCCGGCCUCCCGCGACGGACAGGAAGAGGCAUCUGGCAUCUUGACCGCUGGCCGCGCCUGGUGCUCGCCCGAACCGCCCAUAUUCUGAAAGGGACUGUGAUUUUCAAUUUUUAUUGGCCUCCUAUAUUGAAUUUUGAGAUAUGAAGAGAUUUUUUUUUUUAUUAUAUGAGAUCAUUUACAACUUCAUUCGUAGUAGAAUCGUUAGUAUUUGAGAAAAAAAAGUGAAAAUUAACGUAUGUAGAUUUUAAGAAUUCGAUUUUUUAUGAGGUUAUUGAGAUCUAGUCACGUCCCCUUUGAAUUUGGGCUAUAUUUCUUAUUCUUUUAUUCUAUUAUUCUUUAUUUCUUUUUUUUUUUUUAGGUCUUUCUCUCUUACUUUGAACUCUUUAUAUAACUUUUACUCUUUAAUCAAAACAUGCGCGCAAGCAUUACCACCUCUGCUUUGUACAUACGCAGCAUUAAGCAUUUCAAGCGAACCGAUGCUGUAGUACUGUGUGUCUCCGGAUCAGGAAGGCGGGCAUGUCCUCGCCAGCACAAACUCUUCUAAAUUUUCGUAAUUUUUUAUUGCUCAAGAAAGUCAACGACGCCGUUGCUCUCGUACCUAAAUUGCCGAUGGAUAUUUACGGAUAUUUUUGAGUUUCUUUAAUCUAUUUUUACUUUCAAGUAAACCAGAAAAAAAAAGAAUAAAAGGUGCCUCACUGUAAAGCCUCCUAGAGUAAGUUAUUUUGAAUUUGAGAUUUUUUUGUUUUUUGUGAAAAAAGUUAGGGUUGUUAACGACCAGUUUUCUCAUGGGACCAGGUAGAUUGACCAUGCAGAAGCUAUCGACAUAUUUUUUCUAAUAUAUGAGGAUAUGCCUAGCGUUCUUGGUUUCAACGAGAAAUUAUACCGUUAUAUCAGGUUUUCAGGUGACAUGUUUACGACAAAAAUAAGAAAUUAUAAUCGAGAAUGACAUUUCUUUUUUAAUCUCACGAAUGAAUGAUUGAGUAUAAUGUGAAUGAAAUAUAUGAUAGGCCAAAAAUUUUCACUAUUUUACAUAGCCACAUGUCCAUGUAUAUCUCUACUUAGCAUAUCAUUUGAUAGCGAUGAUGAUGCGGUAUCAACUGCUUUUUUAUAUGUUAUAAGGGAUAAGCGUGUGUAUUGUGCGAGUGAAUGUAAAAGAAACCCAACAGAAAAGAAUCUUUGUAAAUAUAUUCAAACUAACAUUGCACUUCUGUAUCUACAUCAACUUGUGGUAUUUUCUACGCACUGGGUAUUACAGCUGACACAGAACUCUCCUUCUGUGAUACUGAUGUCACGUAAACCCAGUGUUGUGAGAAGUUAUCAGCAUUCUGUGAGAGUAAAGUAGGCACUGAAAGACUGGGUAAUGGACAUUGUCAUUCUCCACUCCUGACACGUGAGAGUAUUGAAAAUGUCAUUGCCCACAAGUGGUUUUCCAAUGUCACUGUCGUAUCAUUAUGACUUUAGAAUAUUGGCACUGUUGUUAUCCGGAACUAAGAAUAGAGGUUGGCACUGCUGUCACCCUUACAUUAACUUGGGUUCGGACAGUGCCAUUUAGCUUGCACGGUCUUAGUUACGGAUAACACAGUCAACAUAAGAGUUUGUUAAAACAGAGUGCCACCUUGCACCAACUACGAGUGAGGAAAAACAGUGCUGUUAUCGAUCUAAAAAGUUACAGUGAGACACCUGUUUGUUAUCUGUAUCUAAUAGAUGGAUAUUGGUAGAUGCAAUCUUCAUGUCCUAUUUACUUCUCGAUGUUCGAAGUUGAUAGGAACCAUAAUCAAUAUGUAAGGUUCUGUGAAUCCAUUAUUCUAAUCUACAAUAUUGUAUGUGUUGAAUUUUCUACCAUGAUGUAAUGCUGUGUUAUGUUAAGUAUCUACGUAGGUGAUAUAAGUUCCCCACAUUUUCGUAUUGUGAACCUAAAAAUUCCUUUUGAAAGAAUGCCAUUUGUGCUGUCGAUUUUGGAUUAUAUAAGUCUCCUUUUUUUCCCUUCCUAUGACGGUUCCAUCUUGUGAAUUAAGAUGCCCGUUCGAAAAAUAAUUUUUUGGUACAUAUCAGAAGAAUUCCCUUUAAAUCUACUAUUGAAUUCAGAGAUUAUCCAUUAUUUCUAUGCUUUCGACCAAAGAUUUAAGUAAGAACAAGGUUAUAAAUGUUUGUAAAUAACAUAUUAAUUCCAUUGAGGUAUAAAUGUCGUGUACGAGCAUAAAUGUUUACAACAUUACAUGUAAAACGGAUAAAUUUGUGAAUAGUAAAUUGUGCCUUGAAAUGUUUACGCCAUUAUCUCACUUCUGACAUGAUUACUCUAUCUAGAAACACAUGCUGUGACACUUCUAUUAGCAUGUAGAUAUGAACGAAAAGCAACAAUUUAACUUGUCUGUCUCUCCACGCUGUCUUUCCUUUAAGGGGAGUUCUACCCUUCUCUCGUCACAUACGUGGUUCAUGAUAAGAAAAUGAAAAUGUUUAUAUACAAAGACAUAUUUCUCAAUAAAUGUCUUCCUAUUAAA